This 775-nucleotide long non-coding RNA is filed under the name Capsella grandiflora. RNAcentral's name for it is "long non-coding RNA (CGRA_LNC001176)". The record is from RNAcentral. Lineage: Eukaryota; Viridiplantae; Streptophyta; Magnoliopsida; Brassicales; Brassicaceae.
ACAGGGUGUUACAAUACGAAGAAGCCAAUGGUAGCGGAAUAUAGAAAUAUUGUAGGAUACAAGAGACAUAGAACACACAUGGGAUGAUGAUCAUCUCAGUGGAACUUGAGGCUGGUCAAGACGUUGUUGUUGACGGGAUCCGCCAAGUGAUCAAGCAGGUUCUGGUAAGGCCCGACUCCGGUCACUAGUCCCUGGAUGAAGUAACCGAGGAUGGCGAGCAUAGCCAGUCUACCGUUCUUGACCUCCUUGAGUUUCAACUCUUUCAUUGACUUCUCAUCUUUCCCAAACCCAAGAGGGUUGAAGAAAGGUCCACCGGGGUAUGAUGGGUCACCUGAACCGGCCAAACCCUUCUCUAACCCCAAGAAGUACUGUUUCCCCAUAGAUCCUGGGUUGUACCAGUCCUGUAACCUCCUGUGCUCAGCAAAUCCCAUCAGAGCCAUCUCAAGAACAAAGAGUGUGUAAUUGUCUGCCCAGUAGCUGUAUGUCCCUGCAGGUGGAAUCACACCGGUUUGGAACCAGGGAAGAGCUGUCUCUGCGGGAAUCAGACCAGCCUUUCCUAGAAUCUCAGGAGCAAUAGCUCCAGCUGCACCCAACAUGGCGAACCGUCCGUUGAUGAUCUCUCCGUAUGCUAGCCAUCUCGGCUCAAUGAAUCCUCCGGUUCCCUCUGGGUCUGAGAGACCAAGUGGGUCGAAUCCAUAGUCACCAGGUAAGCUGUAAGAAUCACAACAUUUCCAAAUCUUUUGAACAUCAUGUAAGUUCUCAAAGCAAUCAAAUC